CGUCGCCAAGUGGUAAGGCACCGGGUUUUGAUCCCGGUAUGCGCAGGUUCGAAUCCUGCCGC
Molecule: transfer RNA, 62 nt
Filed under: marine eukaryotic metagenome
Rfam family: tRNA
About the family: Transfer RNA (tRNA) molecules are approximately 80 nucleotides in length. Their secondary structure includes four short double-helical elements and three loops (D, anti-codon, and T loops). Further hydrogen bonds mediate the characteristic L-shaped molecular structure. tRNAs have two regions of fundamental functional importance: the anti-codon, which is responsible for specific mRNA codon recognition, and the 3' end, to which the tRNAs corresponding amino acid is attached (by aminoacyl-tRNA synthetases). tRNAs cope with the degeneracy of the genetic code in two manners: having more than one tRNA (with a specific anti-codon) for a particular amino acid; and 'wobble' base-pairing, i.e. permitting non-standard base-pairing at the 3rd anti-codon position.
Source: RNAcentral